This 239-nucleotide long non-coding RNA is filed under the name Elaeis guineensis (African oil palm). Its description in RNAcentral is "long non-coding RNA (EGUI_LNC033508)". The record is from RNAcentral. Lineage: Eukaryota; Viridiplantae; Streptophyta; Magnoliopsida; Arecales; Arecaceae.
GAGUCCUUCUGCUUUGGGCAAAAAGAAAUGCCUCUUAUCUAGCUAUCAUGCCCCUUGAGUUCAAAUUUGAGUGGUCUUACCACUUGAAAAAAUCAGAAUUUUUCUGAACUCAACAGGAAUGCCUAAUGCAUCUCUUUUUGACGUGCAUGCAGAAAAAGGCUACAAUCGAUGUAUCAGGUUGAAAGAGUCCUUCUGUUUGAAGACUCUUAAUUUCUUGAUAUGAAGAUGAGAUAAGGGAU